Molecule: ribosomal RNA, 253 nt
Filed under: uncultured bacterium
Lineage: Bacteria
Description: partial 16S ribosomal RNA
Rfam family: Bacterial small subunit ribosomal RNA
Source: RNAcentral
UACGUAGGGGGCUAGCGUUGUCCGGAAUUAUUGGGCGUAAAGCGCGUGUAGGCGGCCCGGUAAGUCCGCUGUGAAAGUCCCAGGCUCAACCUGUGAAUGCCGCUGGAAACUGUCUGGCUAGAGUCCGGAAGGGGCGAGUGGAAUUCCUGGUGUAGCGGUGAAAUGCGCAGAUAUCAGGAGGAACACCAAUUGCGAAGGCAGCUCGCUGGGACGUUACUGACGCUGAGACGCGAAAGCGUGGGGAGCAAACAGG